UGAGUAUCGCGUAGGGAUUUAUCGUUGGGUGGUGGAUAACCGCGGGAAACUGCGGCUAAUACAGCAUGACGCCUGUGGGCCAAAGGUCGCAAGACUGCCUGACGAGGAGCCUGCGUCCGAUUAGCUAGUUGGUUGGGUAAUGGCUGACCAAGGCUGUGAUCGGUAGCUGGUCUGAGAGGAUGAUCAGCCACACUGGGACUGAGACACGGCCCAGACUCCUACGGGAGGCAGCAGUGGGGAAUAUUGGACAAUGGG
Molecule: ribosomal RNA, 255 nt
Filed under: uncultured Acetobacteraceae bacterium
Lineage: Bacteria; Pseudomonadati; Pseudomonadota; Alphaproteobacteria; Acetobacterales; Acetobacteraceae
Description: partial 16S ribosomal RNA
Rfam family: Bacterial small subunit ribosomal RNA
Source: RNAcentral